GAUGAACGCUGGCGGCGUGCCUAAUACAUGCAAGUCGAGCGAACAGACGAGGAGCUUGCUCCUCUGACGUUAGCGGCGGACGGGUGAGUAACACGUGGAUAACCUACCUAUAAGACUGGGAUAACUUCGGGAAACCGGAGCUAAUACCGGAUAAUAUAUUGAACCGCAUGGUUCAAUAGUGAAAGACGGUUUUGCUGUCACUUAUAGAUGGAUCCGCGCCGCAUUAGCUAGUUGGUAAGGUAACGGCUUACCAAGGCAACGAUGCGUAGCCGACCUGAGAGGGUGAUCGGCCACACUGGAACUGAGACACGGUCCAGACUCCUACGGGAGGCAGCAGUAGGGAAUCUUCCGCAAGGGGCGAAAGCCUGACGGGCAACGCCGCGUGAGUGAGGAAGGUCUUCGGAUCGUAAAACUCUGUUAUUAGGGAAGAACAAAUGUGGAAGUAACUAUGCACGUCUUGACGGUACCAAAUCAGAAAGCCACGGCUAACUACGU
Molecule: ribosomal RNA, 495 nt
Filed under: uncultured bacterium
Lineage: Bacteria
Description: partial 16S ribosomal RNA
Rfam family: Bacterial small subunit ribosomal RNA
Source: RNAcentral